RNAcentral lists this transfer RNA (72 nucleotides) under Bos taurus (domestic cattle). It matches the Rfam family "tRNA". Rfam says of the family: Transfer RNA (tRNA) molecules are approximately 80 nucleotides in length. Their secondary structure includes four short double-helical elements and three loops (D, anti-codon, and T loops). RNAcentral also lists the same sequence under 5 other names. The record is from Rfam by way of RNAcentral. Lineage: Eukaryota; Metazoa; Chordata; Mammalia; Artiodactyla; Bovidae.
UCCCCGGUGGCUGAGUAGGUAAGGAAUCUGUCUGCAAUGCAGGAGGCCCAGGUUCAAUCCCUGGGUGAGGAA